This 200-nucleotide unclassified non-coding RNA is filed under the name soil metagenome. Its description in RNAcentral is "partial contains internal transcribed spacer 2 and large subunit ribosomal RNA". The record is from RNAcentral.
UUCGAGCGUCAUUACACCCCUCAAGUCAAACUUUUUGGUUAACUUGGUGUUGGGCCUUGCCGGAAGGCAUGCCUAAAAAUUAGCGAUGGUACGUUAAACCACGGACGCACAAAUGUCGUUACGUAGGGGUACGGCACCAGUUUAAUGAUUAAUUUCUCAAUGUUGACCUCGGAUCAGGUAGGAAUACCCGCUGAACUUAA